This 654-nucleotide ribosomal RNA is filed under the name uncultured Actinomycetes bacterium. RNAcentral's name for it is "bacterial SSU rRNA". It matches the Rfam family "Bacterial small subunit ribosomal RNA", at positions 58 to 709 of the family's 1533-position model. Lineage: Bacteria; Bacillati; Actinomycetota; Actinomycetes. The record is from RNAcentral.
CAAGUCGAACGCUGAAGGCCAGCUUGCUGGGUUGGAUGAGUGGCGAACGGGUGAGUAACACGUGAGUAACCUGCCCCCUUCUUUGGGAUAACGGUCGGAAACGGCUGCUAAUACCGGGUAUUCACUGUCCUUCGCAUGGGGGGUGGUGGAAAGGUUUUUUCUGGUGGGGGAUGGGCUCGCGGCCUAUCAGCUUGUUGGUGGGGUGAUGGCUUACCAAGGCUUUGACGGGUAACCGGCCUGAGAGGGUGACCGGUCACAUUGGGACUGAGAUACGGCCCAGACUCCUACGGGAGGCAGCAGUGGGGAAUAUUGCACAAUGGGCGAAAGCCUGAUGCAGCGACGCCGCGUGAGGGAUGACGGCCUUCGGGUUGUAAACCUCUUUCGCUCAUGGUCAAGCCGCAACAGUGGUUGUGGUGAGGGUAGUGGGUAAAGAAGCACCGGCUAACUACGUGCCAGCAGCCGCGGUAAUACGUAGGGUGCGAGCGUUGUCCGGAAUUAUUGGGCGUAAAGGGCUUGUAGGCGGUUUGUCGCGUCUGCCGUGAAAUCCUCUGGCUUAACUGGGGGCGUGCGGUGGGUACGGGCAGGCUUGAGUGCGGUAGGGGAGACUGGAACUCCUGGUGUAGCGGUGGAAUGCGCAGAUAUCAGGAAGAACAC